UUGGAUUGAGCCUUGGUAUGGAAAAAUCCGUCGACUUUAGAAAUCGUGAGGGUUCAAGUCCCUCUAUCCCC
Molecule: transfer RNA, 71 nt
Filed under: Oxalis sp. AOKI2016
Lineage: Eukaryota; Viridiplantae; Streptophyta; Magnoliopsida; Oxalidales; Oxalidaceae
Description: partial tRNA-Leu
Source: RNAcentral